This 460-nucleotide ribosomal RNA is filed under the name uncultured bacterium. RNAcentral's name for it is "partial 16S ribosomal RNA". It matches the Rfam family "Bacterial small subunit ribosomal RNA", at positions 338 to 795 of the family's 1533-position model. The record is from RNAcentral.
CCUACGGGGGGCAGCAGUGAGGAAUAUUGGUCAAUGGACAAGAGUCUGAACCAGCCAAGUAGCGUGAAGGAUGACUGCCCUAUGGGUUGUAAACUUCUUUUAUAUGGGAAUAAAACGUUCCACGUGUGGGAUUUUGUAUGUACCAUAUGAAUAAGGAUCGGCUAACUCCGUGCCAGCAGCCGCGGUAAUACGGAGGAUCCGAGCGUUAUCCGGAUUUAUUGGGUUUAAAGGGAGCGUAGGUGGAUUGUUAAGUCAGUUGUGAAAGUUUGCGGCUCAACCGUAAAAUUGCAGUUGAAACUGGCAGUCUUGAGUACAGUAGAGGUGGGCGGAAUUCGUGGUGUAGCGGUGAAAUGCUUAGAUAUCACGAAGAACUCCGAUUGCGAAGGCAGUUCACUGGACUGCAACUGACACUGAGGCUCGAAAGUGUGGGUAUCAAACAGGAUUAGAUACCCGAGUAGUC